This is a non-coding RNA of Musa acuminata subsp. malaccensis (wild Malaysian banana), 141 nucleotides long. Lineage: Eukaryota; Viridiplantae; Streptophyta; Magnoliopsida; Zingiberales; Musaceae. The record is from Rfam.
AUGCACGGUGCACCCCGGGCUUCUCUGAAAGUCGUAUGACGAUCGAGGCCCCAAUGCCCGUGCGAGAUUGAGUUUCCGUUCGGUGUUUCAGUUCGGUUGAUGGUAUCCCACGACUGAUCUGUGUCAGUGACGGCCAAAUUU